AUACAGAGGGUGCGAGCGUUAAUCGGAAUUACUGGGCGUAAAGCGCGCGUAGGCGGCUUAUUAAGUCAGAUGUGAAAUCCCCGGGCUCAACCUGGGAACUGCAUCUGAUACUGGUAAGCUAGAGUUUUAGAGAGGGAAGUAGAAUUUCAGGUGUAGCGGUGGAAUGCAUAGAGAUCUGAAGGAAUACCAGUGGCGAAGGCGACUUCCUGGCCAAAAACUGACGCUGAGGUGCGAAAGCGUGGGUAGCAAACGGAAUUAGAAACCCCGGUAGUCC
This 274-nucleotide ribosomal RNA is filed under the name uncultured bacterium. RNAcentral's name for it is "partial 16S ribosomal RNA". It matches the Rfam family "Bacterial small subunit ribosomal RNA", at positions 523 to 796 of the family's 1533-position model. The record is from RNAcentral.